ACGGCUGCUUUGAGAGGGUAACUCUGGGUUUCGUGCAGCCUGAGGAAGCUCAGUUGUUUAGCAAACGGUCUAAUUAAUGCGACCGUGUUGUGGAGUUAGACCCUUUUCCUUCUCUUAGCUGGAAUUAGCUGGGGAUUUGAUGCAAGCCAGGCUCCAGCUGAGUUGAGUCUGACCAAAGGAGGUGAAGGACUGCAGUUCCUACAGGGGGAGCCAGAGAGCACACGAGGAAAAGAGGAAUUACCUGGGCCAACAGGGAAGCUUUCCUUCAUCAUCCUUCAUUAGACGAGCGCCAGUCAAGCCAAACCGCUUCAAGCCGAAGCAAAGAUUCCAAAACAUCGUUGUGUUGUGGGCAGCACAGACAACAAAAAUGAAGGGAGGGAGGGAGGGAGGAGGGGAUGGGCGAGGUGAAAGUCAUGCUUCGGAAAAUACUUCCCGGUCAAAACUGGGUUUCCUGAGAGAUCAGUGGCCAAUUCUGGGUAGGUUUUUCAAGAUUCGUAACUGAUUCGCAAAGCUUGUGAGGUUCUCUGCUAAUUAUCUUGUGUAUCUUUGGGGGGGGGGGUUGAGCAGGCCCUUUGCAAUCAGCGUCUGCACAUUCAUCAUAUUUUAUGCUUAUCUUCAGCAUUUCGAUGGUGCCAUCCGUGACCACCCUCCCCUCCUUGGCUAUAUCUCUGUGUGAAAACUGAACUACUUUAAGUCUGUUUUGUAAACAUAGUACUGCACUCUUGGCUCUGGCUCAGUGCAGUGCAUUAGCGAUUUUUGGCAUAGCACGAGUUUGUCAGGUAUAUAGACCUCUUAACACAAAGCUUGCAUCAGCCCUCAGGAAUGCAAGACAGAGAGAGAAAGAGAGGGAAGGAGUGAGAAAGUGAGUGAAAGAGAGAGUGAGAAAUUAACCUUGUACUUCCAACCGGGGAGAAAAGCUUGACCUGAUUUGCCAUUAGGCUGGGAAUAAAAAGGCCUGUGAUUGGUGGAGUUGGUGUGGUGCAGUCCGUAGGGUGGCGGGCUCUCACCCUUGACGUGGACCCGCCCCGUGCAGCUCAGGGUUCGAUUCCCUGUCGCGGGCGGUGCUCUCUGUAUUGUGAUCCCAACUCAUUUUGCAAUACUGCAGUACCCCUGUCUGAAUGAAGUCCAUGAAGAUGGAAAGAGAGCUCUCCAAAAAAAAAAAAAACGGUGUCCUGAUUGGCUCCUUCCUCAUGAAUAUUCAUGAGAAGGGUGUGGCAACAUACAGAGCAACCAUGGAUGGCAGAAAGACACAGGUACUAUUCUAGAAUAACCAAGCGGGCGACUCCUGCAUGCCUUUCCCUCCUAAAUUCUGGGGGGCUCCGGUCAGUAACAGGAGUUCCCAGCGCUCCCGAGCAUUCCGUCCAGUCCACGUUGCGCUCGGUCAGGAAUCAUUUCCAAAAAAGAUGCCCCAACAUCGGAACGCUUCUGCUUUGGCUUCAACGGAAAGGGAGACAGAAAUUUCAAAGCGGGAGGAGAAACAAAACAAAAAAAGAAAAAAAAACGGGAGUCGACCAUCUGGUUAGUCCAUAGCGAUAUCUGCAGUAUUACCGGCUGGAAGUUCCCUAGCCAAGGAGGACCAAUCGGAAUGCAGGCUGGCUGCCGUCUCUGAUGUGGCCAAUGCAGACAUCUGUUGCUCUCACUGGUAAAAAGGCCUCUUUAUCUCAUGAAUAAAUGAUGUCAACUGCAACAAGGGAUCAGCAGGAUCUGUUUUAUUUUUUAUUUUUUAAUGCAUCCGUUAGACCUUUCUUUUGUAUUAUGCAACACUGGCCUGGAUGUGGUCCUGCAUUUUCAACACAGGCGGUAGUCUAGCGCAACUGUUAGGGAACUGGAUUUGCAACCUGGAGGUUGCGGGCUCCAAUUGCAGUUGAAGCAUUGCCGUGGGUCCCAAAACAAAAAUUGGGGAAAACUGAGGAAAGCAGAUAAUGAUGAUGAUAACUGAAAUGUAGACAACAAAUAAACCAAGUUCUGUCACCAUCAUCUAACAGCUUUCAAAUAUUUUUUUUUUGCUUUUUUUAAAUUAAUUUUUUUAGAUAUGCUUGCUCCUAAAUUUACCACUACCUUUAAACAAAGUCUGCUCAAGUUCAAGUUUUCAAGACCCUAGAUUUGCAGCCUAGGUUCUGCUGUCAUCCCCCUUGACCUUGAUUAAUUACAUCUAAAUUGCUUUCGUGCACAGAUCCAGCAUCAUAAACGGACAGUGUGUCAACUUCAUACGCAGGUAUCUGAAGGUCUGCUGGGUGCUUAAGAUAAGGAUAUUCAUGAAAACAACAUUCCGCUCUGAGUCACAAAUUCCAUUUCGCUCUUCUGGUUUUUGUGAUGUUACGUCUAAUCACUUUGGACCUUUCCUUACUUCUGCAACAAGUCACAGGCGGUGUUUUCUUCAACCUUGCCUGCUGAACUUAAAAAAAAAAAAGAAAAAAAAGAGAGGUGGUGGGGAGGAAGGGAGGGAGGAGAGAGAAAAGGAACAGUGAUUUUAUGACCGGCCUUUUCCCCUCCUGUAUAAGUGCUUUACCAGAUGUGAGUGUUUAUGAGCAGGCUCUGUAGUUUCGGCUUCACCGCACUCCCAAGCCAGCCAGACGGGCCGCCCUGUCCUUCCACGCGGCACAUUCCCCGGGGCUCUGGUGGUUUGGUGCGACCCUGACGCCGCCUGCGGCACGCGGUAUAUUCCACUCUUGGUCUUAUGCAGGCCCAGACGCAACCUUCAACUGGCCAUUUCUCCGCUGCUUUGAGUUUGAGAAUUACAUGCAAGUGUUCGUGUCUUUUUGUUUCGGUUUUCAAACAGACACAAUUUAACAAUUCAUCCACCAGGUGAAAGACAGCUAGAGAAAUUUCUUUGGACUCUUAUC
Molecule: long non-coding RNA, 2843 nt
Organism: Anguilla rostrata (American eel)
Lineage: Eukaryota; Metazoa; Chordata; Actinopteri; Anguilliformes; Anguillidae
Exons: 3
Source: RefSeq, a predicted model, not a curated record